Molecule: ribosomal RNA, 253 nt
Filed under: uncultured bacterium
Lineage: Bacteria
Description: partial 16S ribosomal RNA
Rfam family: Bacterial small subunit ribosomal RNA
Source: RNAcentral
GACGUAGGGCGCGAGCGUUGUCCGGAUUUAUUGGGCGUAACGAGCUCGUAGGCGGCUUGUUGCGUCGACUGUGAAAACCCGCGGCUUAACUGCGGGCUUGCAGUUGAUACGGGCAGGCUAGAGUUCGGUAGGGGAGACUGGAAUUCCUGGUGUAGCGGUGAAAUGCGCAGAUAUCAGGAGGAACACCGGUGGCGAAGGCGGGUCUCUGGGCCGAUACUGACGCUGAGGAGCGAAAGCGUGGGGAGCGAACAGG